AUUGAACGCUGGCGGCAGGCUUAACACAUGCAAGUCGAGCGGGGUGAUGGUGCUUGCACUAUCACUUAGCGGCGGACGGGUGAGUAAUGCUUAGGAAUCUGCCUAUUAGUGGGGGACAACAUCUCGAAAGGGAUGCUAAUACCGCAUACGUCCUACGGGAGAAAGCAGGGGAUCACUUGUGACCUUGCGCUAAUAGAUGAGCCUAAGUCGGAUCAGCUAGUUGGUGGGGUAAAGGCCUACCAAGGCGACGAUCUGUAGCGGGUCUGCGAGGUGGAUCCGCCACACUGGGACGGAGAAACGGGCCAGACUCCUACGGGAGGCAGCAGUGGGUAAUAUUGGACAAUGGGGGGAAGCCUGAUCCAGCCAUGCCGCGUGUGUGAAGAAGGCCUUAUGGUUGUAAAACACUUUAAGCGAGGAGGAGGCUCUUUUGGUUAAUACCCAAGAUGAGUGGACGUUACUCGCAGAAUAAGCACCGGCUAACUCUGUGCCAGCCGCCGCCGUAA
This 503-nucleotide ribosomal RNA is filed under the name uncultured bacterium. RNAcentral describes it as "partial 16S ribosomal RNA". It matches the Rfam family "Bacterial small subunit ribosomal RNA", at positions 30 to 523 of the family's 1533-position model. The record is from RNAcentral.